This 495-nucleotide ribosomal RNA is filed under the name uncultured bacterium. Its description in RNAcentral is "partial 16S ribosomal RNA". It matches the Rfam family "Bacterial small subunit ribosomal RNA", at positions 28 to 507 of the family's 1533-position model. The record is from RNAcentral.
GACGAACGCUGGCGGCGUGCCUAAUACAUGCAAGUCGAACGCUGAAGGAGGAGCUUGCUUCUCUGGAUGAGUUGCGAACGGGCGAGUAACGCGUAGGUAACCUGCCUGGUAGCGGGGGAUAACUAUUGGAAACGAUAGCUAAUACCGCAUAAGAGUAGAUGUUGCAUGACAUUUGCUUAAAAGGUGCAAUUGCAUCACUACCAGAUGGACCUGCGUUGUAUUAGCUAGUUGGUGGGGUAACGGCUCACCAAGGCGACGAUACAUAGCCGACCUGAGAGGGUGAUCGGCCACACUGGGACUGAGACACGGCCCAGACUCCUACGGGAGGCAGCAGUAGGGAAUCUUCGGCAAUGGACGGAAGUCUGACCGAGCAACGCCGCGUGAGUGAAGAAGGUUUUCGGAUCGUAAAGCUCUGUUGUAAGAGAAGAACGAGUGUGAGAGUGGAAAGUUCACACUGUGACGGUAUCUUACCAGAAAGGGACGGCUAACUACGUG